GAUGAACGCCGGCGGCGUGCCUAAUACAUGCAAGUCGAGCGAACAGACGAGGAGCUUGCUCCUCUGACGUUAGCGGCGGACGGGUGAGUAACACGUGGAUAACCUACCUAUAAGACUGGGAUAACUUCGGGAAACCGGAGCUGAUACCGGAUAAUAUAUUGAACCGCAUGGUUCAAUAGUGAAAGACGGUUUUGCUGUCACUUAUAGAUGGAUCCGCGCCACAUUAGCUAGUUGGUAAGGUAACGGCUUACCAAGGCAACGAUGCGUAGCCGACCUGAGAGGGUGAUCGGCCACACUGGAACUGAGACACGGUCCAGACUCCUACGGGAGGCAGCAGUAGGGAAUCUUCCGCAAUGGGCGAAAGCCUGACGGAGCAACGCCGCGUGAGUGAUGAAGGUCUUCGGAUCGUAAAACUCUGUUAUUAGGGAAGAACAAAUGUGUAAGUAACUAUGCACGUCUUGACGGUACCUAAUCAGAAAGCCACGGCUAACUACGUG
This 497-nucleotide ribosomal RNA is filed under the name uncultured bacterium. RNAcentral's name for it is "partial 16S ribosomal RNA". It matches the Rfam family "Bacterial small subunit ribosomal RNA", at positions 28 to 507 of the family's 1533-position model. The record is from RNAcentral.